UACGUAGGGGGCAAGCGUUGUCCGGAUUUAUUGGGCGUAAAGAGCUCGUAGGCGGUCUGUCGCGUCUGCUGUGAAAACUCAGGGCUUAACCCUGAGCUUGCAGUGGGUACGGGCAGACUAGAGUGCGGUAGGGGAGACUGGAAUUCCUGGUGUAGCGGUGAAAUGCGCAGAUAUCAGGAGGAACACCGGUGGCGAAGGCGGGUCUCUGGGCCGAUACUGACACUGAGGAGCGAAAGCUAGGGGAGCAAACGGG
This 253-nucleotide ribosomal RNA is filed under the name uncultured bacterium. RNAcentral's name for it is "partial 16S ribosomal RNA". It matches the Rfam family "Bacterial small subunit ribosomal RNA", at positions 524 to 776 of the family's 1533-position model. The record is from RNAcentral.